RNAcentral lists this long non-coding RNA (274 nucleotides) under Elaeis guineensis (African oil palm). RNAcentral describes it as "long non-coding RNA (EGUI_LNC007183)". The record is from RNAcentral. Lineage: Eukaryota; Viridiplantae; Streptophyta; Magnoliopsida; Arecales; Arecaceae.
CUUAGACUUGUUGACAGCCAGCCUACUUUGGGAGGGAAAAUCAGAAUUUUAUGGCUUAUGGAUAUGGGUCUAUCAUCUAUCUCCUACAUUCUGCUGGCACUGCUACAAAGAGGACUUCUGACUUACGCUUCCAAGUACAUCAUCUGGCUUCAGUAAGUGGAAUCACUUCAUUGCCUUGCUCAUGAUCCAGCUCGCCAUAUCAAAUUCCAAAAUCAAAUCCUUGGGAGCUUUUUUGUUAUAUAGGAUAUCAUGGAUAUUAUUACCUCUUCUCCUA